AGCAUAUCAAUAAGCGGAGGAAAAGAAACUAACAAGGAUUCCCCUAGUAACUGCGAGUGAAGCGGGAAAAGCUCAAAUUUAAAAUCUGGCGGUCUUUGGCCGUUCGAGUUGUAAUUUAGAGAAGCGUCUUCCGCGCUGGACCGUGCACAAGUCUCCUGGAACGGAGCGUCAUAGAGGGUGAGAAUCCCGUCUUUGGCACGGAACCCCGGUGCUUCUGUGAUGCGCUCUCGAAGAGUCGAGUUGUUUGGGAAUGCAGCUCAAAAUGGGUGGUGAACUCCAUCUAAAGCUAAAUAUUGGCGAGAGACCGAUAGCGAACAAGUACCGUGAGGGAAAGAUGAAAAGCACUUUGGAAAGAGAGUGAAACAGUACGUGAAAUUGUUGAAAGGGAAACGCUUGAAGUCAGUCGCGUCGAUCGAGACUCAGCCUUGCCUUGGCUUGGUGUACUUCUUGACCGACGGGCCAGCAUCAAUUUUGCCUCUCGGAUAAUGGCAAGGGAAAGGUGGCACCCUUACGGGUGUGUUAUAGUCUCCUGUCGCAUGCGAGGGGUGGGAUUGAGGAACUCAGCACGCACCUUUUAGGUGUCGGGGCUUCGGCCCACGUUACGUGCUUAGGAUGUUGGCGUAAUGGCUUUAAACGACCCGUCUUGAAACACGGACCAAGGAGUCUAACAUGCCCGCGAGUGUUCGGGUGGAAAACCCGUGCGCGAAAUGAAAGUGAAAGUUGGGACCUCUGUCGUGGAGGGCACCGACGCCCGGACCAGACCUUCUGUGACGGCUCUGCGGUAGAGCGUGCAUGUUGGGACCCGAAAGAUGGUGAACUAUGCCUGAAUAGGGUGAAGCCAGAGGAAACUCUGGUGGAGGCUCGUAGCGAUUCUGACGUGCAAAUCGAUCGUCAAAUUUGGGUAUAGGGGCGAAAGACUAAUCGAACCAUCUAGUAGCUGGUCCUGC
Molecule: ribosomal RNA, 947 nt
Filed under: Lactifluus longisporus
Lineage: Eukaryota; Fungi; Basidiomycota; Agaricomycetes; Russulales; Russulaceae
Description: eukaryotic LSU rRNA
Rfam family: Eukaryotic large subunit ribosomal RNA
Source: RNAcentral